GACAAAAUGGCCGAUAGCCAUCCGUAUUUUUCAGCGUUGUUUCGUUUUCAUUGUUAAUUUUAUACUAUUUUUAUCAUUUCUGGUUAACAUUGUAAUGGAAUUAAAUGAAAAAUAUUUCGUUUGAUUGCUGAUCCGUGGACUGCGAUGCUACUGGCAUGUGAUCAACGGCGUUGAUGGACAAUAUGGAAUUAAACGAGCUAUUCAAUGAAACGCAGAGGUGUCAUUUCAUGGAUACGUCUGUUAACAUCUUAUUAGCUCCGUUAUGUGUAUGCGCGUUGGUAGGUAUUGUAACAUUUCUGGCUUACCAGUUUUUCAAAAAACGUUUGACCAUACAAAAUGUAGUAAGAGUUAACACUACAACUGUAAUUAAGACACAUACAUCAUUUCUGAGUAGAGAAAAGGAAUCAUGUGAAACCAAGCUUGCUGCGCUCAUUGAGAAAUCUGAAAUAGAUACCGGUCUUAAGUUGGAAGACGCAGUCAUGGAUAUAAAAACAAAUCAGCAAGAUUGUGCUAAUGAGAUUUUGGCACAAAGCGCAUCUCUGAAUCGAAUAAUUGGUCAUCUUAUUGCCGAGAAAACGGCGCCGGGACAAGAGGAGUACGUUACAAAACGCCAGGAACUGAUCGAACGUACAAAGAAGCUUUACAGGGACACAUUAAAUCAGCUUACCAUAUCGCCAUUGAAUGACUACAAACAUGAACAAUUAACAGAUGUCUAUAUGCCGCUUAGAAUUGUUCGAAUGGUCGAGGACAAAGGUGUGUAUAAGAAAACAGACACACAGGUUACACAGUACAAGGAUAUGUUUUUAACAGAUAACACAGUUAACCCAAGAAUAUUUCUUCAAGGUGAGGCAGGGUCUGGAAAAACAACAUUCUUAUCAAAGUUGGCACUAGACUGGUGUGGAGAAGUGCAUGUUUCUAGUUCAUUUGAUGACAGUUCACCUUUAUUUAGUGAUGUCGACGUUAUUCAAGGAUUUGUGUUCGUUUUCCAUAUUAAAUUGAGGAAUUCGGUAAAACAAUUCGACGUAUAUACUAUGAUAACAGAACAAAUAAUGGACUCGAUCUACUCCCAUGAAGACCGUGAGAAGGCGUACAGACUUUUGAAUGAGAUAAUGAAAUGUGAACAAUGCUUGGUUCUACUUGAUGGUCUAGAUGAGUGGGCCGGACCUGGAGAUCAUCACAACCUACCGACAUUGGUAGUAGAUCACGGCAAAUGUGUGAUGUUAUUUUCAACACGACCUUGGAAAUUGGCUGUAGUUAAAAUUACGCAUUCGGACAGAUACACAUCCUUGCAACUGGAAGGAAUAGACGAGCCGUUAGAGCUUAGCAGAAUAAUCCUGAGCCGCUUGAUGAAUAAGGAAUAUUGUGAAUUAGAUUUCUCAGCAUUUGAGCAUUACAUAGCGAAACAAGAGCUGGAACAUUUACUGUCAUCUCCAAUUAUGCUCUCUGUAAUUGUUUGUUCAUAUGCAGAGGGAACAGAACUCAAAGGUUCUAAGUGUAUAAUAAACACCCUCUUACUGGAAAGUCUUUUUAAAAAAGCGAACAGUGAAAUGUGUACAUUUGAACAGCCCGCCUUUCUGUGCUUCACAGGGACUCAAUACAUAAAGCCCAAUAUGGAACCCCUAAAUCGCCUUGCCGAAUUAGCGUUUCACUUGUUGUUUGUAAAUGUAAAGGAAAACUCACUAGUGUUUAGUGAUACGGAAUUAAGGAAAUUUAAGUUAGAUGAAAGAAAGCAAAAGGAAUUUGCAUUAAAAUCCGGAAUUUUGUCAUCAGUACGAAACGCUUCAACACUGCGAUCGGCAUCUUCAUUUUCGUUUAUCCACUUGAGCAUGCAGGAAUUCCUCGCUGCUUAUCAUAUUGCCCGCAAUACUCAUCUUAUUGAUGACGUUAUUUCUGUGUAUCUUGACCAUCAUAAGGAUGCAUAUCGCGACAUAUCACAGGUGUUUAUAUUCCUGUGUGGACUGGAUAAAUCGAGUGCGGAAACGCUAUCAAGCAUGAUGGAUCAAUACCAUGCUAUGAUAAAUAGCAGAUUCGACGACUGGUUGCAAACAACCAAUUUGGCAGGACACAGAGAAGCUGUUGCAAACGGACAAAACGAAAUUUGCCUUAGACUAAGUCACUUCGACUUCGAUAAGCACAACAUCAUAGACCUACAUAGGAUUUGGACAAAUAACGCAGCAAAUGCCCUUUCCUUGAUAGUUUCCAUCGGCAAGGUACCCUUUGAAAACAGACAAAUGCCAACUGAACUGGACCUGUCAUUGUGUCGCAAGCUGAAAAAGUUAGAACUACUUGGAGACGGCAUAUUGUUAGAAGGUUUCGAUAAAGGAAUGGAAGAAUAGAAGUGGAAGUGCAUAUCAUUUCAACGCUUAUGUUAUAAACAUCGGAUCAAAGUUGUCAACUUACCGGCAAUUGUUAAAAACAUUGGAUUAACGAUGUCAUUAAGGUAAGCGUGUCGGAAUCCUGUGUUUCCCCGGUUCAAAUGUUUACACGGUAAUUUACAUAAACUGUAUACAUACGCGUCUUAAAUAAACUAUGGCGUACCGUUUAAGUCAUUGUUUUGUCAGUUUUUUUAAAGCAAAAAUACAAUUGUUAACUGUUUUCGUUAGUUGUGUAUAUAAUAAAAGUGGCUCGUGUUAUUUCGCAUCACAUUCGAGGCUCCACCUCUCGUGUGAUACGUCAUCACACAAGCCACUCGACUGAAUACAAACUCUUGGAACAAUUGACUAGCGUUAUAUUCCGUAUAUAUUACACAUGUGUAAUACAUAGAGGAUAUUUGUUGGAUUCGGUGGAUUAUCGAUUUUAAUUCACGAGUGAUAAUAGAAAAUAAUAUUUUCACGAGUGGCGCAGCCACGAGUGAAAAUAUACAUUUUAUAUGCUCACGAGUGAAUUAAAAUCGAUAAUCCACCGAACCCAACAAAUUUUCUUUUUAUUUUAUGCUUUAUUUCACAGUUUAUAUACAUUGUUAAAGAGUUUAACUAAAGAAUUACGUUGGGAAAAUGACGUCAUUUCGUCCAAAAAAUGACGUCAUUUAACAUAAACAGUGAAAAUUAUCGAUAAUUUUCACUGAUAAUUUUCAUUGUUUGAAACAGUGAAAUUAUCAGUUUUAAUUCACUGAUAUUUCUCUAUAAACCACCGGAAAGUAUAAAAUAAAACAUUUUUAAACGUUUUUAUUGGCUUAAUUUUCGUUUAUUGACCAAUCGCAGUGUUUAAUUUUGCUGAAAUGACGUUGCAACGUCAAAUGACGUCACGAAUUGUAAACAACAUUCGGGAUUUAUCAUUAUGUUUGCGCGAAUAUUUAUUAAAUUUGCUCAUUUAAAAGCAUGUGAUAAAAAAGAUCUGACACUCGUUGUCAUAUCAUACCAUAUUUUAUUAAACUCGUCCAGGAAAUUCGUUAGUAAGCUCGCCAAAGACUCGCUCGUUUAAUAAAAUAUGGUAUGAUAUGAAAACUCGUACCAGAUCCUAUAUUUAUCAAACGAGGUCAUAAAAAUCAUUAGUCAGAGUCUUUGUCUAUUGAACAAUUACCUUAUGGUAACGUAAUGAUAUCAGAGAAUGCCCUAUAUGUCAUUAGUCAGAUUUUAUGAACUGUUACGUGAAGAUAAAUGUUAUAAUAAAGUGAUGAUAUCAAAUGAGGCCAUUGAAGUCUAUAGUCAGGAUCUUAGUUUACUGAACCUUUUUUCAUCACAAUAUGAAGUGUGUCAGUUCCAAAUGAUCGCUGAACCUGAACAUUUUAUUACAAGAGGCGGGUGAAAGAAUACGUAAAUGGUGUUUUACAUUUAAGCACAAGCCAUUAAUAACAUCCACAUUUACUUUUUGGACGAUUGUAAGACGCAAAAGUUUUAUGUGUUUUCGAGCUCACUGUACCCAAUUGAGUAGGAUCCGGUACUUUCCUCUGAAACAAUAGACCCCAUUUCUAUGUUAUUUUAUGUUAAUUAUCGGGCCUCAUUUGUAUAGACCUUUACAUUUGUCAAGUUAUGUAAGUUUUCAGAUUUUUCAGUUUGAUGGUUAUAAUAGGGGUUUUAAGCAAGUUUUUGUUAACCACAUUAUUCAGUGUGGUAGAAGAUACAUUUUAAGUCAAAACACGUUUAAAUACGUUAAGUUUUAAGAAACUUCGAUCUUUCGAUUUUUGUAAAUUGUUAUGUUUUUCUGCAAAGUUUGACUAACGGGCCUCAGUAAAUUACGCUUUUAGUCGUACGAUAUCGGGUGAUGUGUACAUGAUCGAUUUAUGUCUAAUUUUAAUGGUCAGUUGAAGAAAAGUUGUUCAGUUUGAGUUCAUGGAGAGCAUGUUCCUCGAUUUUUCGGUAAACGAUGCUGGGCGGUAACACGUAUAAAUCGACAGACUUUUUGACAUACACGGACAGUUACAGCUUUGAGACUAGAGCACUAGCUGGGACGUAAGUGUCCAUAACAUACGGCAUUUUGGCCGUUUCAAUGUAGGUAGUCGUUUGGCAUGGUAGACGAUAGGUCGUCAACGCACCGUUAGCGUCACGCCAGUGCUACAUGAGCAUCCACAAGUCUACAGGCCGUCAUACUCGUUGACAUUACCUACGACACCUCGUUAUAAGACGGAAAUACAGGGAACCGUUCGCACCGGUAUACGACCGGUCACGUAAACGUCAUCAGUACGUUCUACUUCCGGGCAAAGUCUUCUCAGCGUUUGACAACGUUCUACUUCCGGGCUCGAAACAGCUCUGGUAUCUACAGUCUACACCCGGGCUUGAUACAGCUCGGAUAUCUACAGUCUACUUCUGGGCUUAUAUAGCUCAGGUUAUCUGCACUCUACUUUCAGGCUUGGUACAGCUCGAAGUUUGCUACUUCGCAGAACACUACAACCGGUAUUCAGUUCCGGAUCUGGUCAUUGACGGCUGUCCAUAGGUUCAGGUCGUGACAAUCGAUAUCACUCCACCAUUACAUCUACCGUCUACAGUUUGACUACGUUAACUGGCCAUUAAGGUUCAUGUAGAGGCUUCAAUUUGAAAAAUGUGGGACCCCUAGCAUUGAACUCAAAUUUGACUAAAGGAAGAGUGCCACAUUGAAAAUGUAUACAUAUAUGCUUUAAAGGAUGUUUUUCCUUCGAACUGCUACCAAUUUUGUACAUCAACGUAUCAUAACAUCCACAAAAUCAAUCAAAAUACAAAGCGAUUUUAACAAUAAAAUAUACAUUAUUGUCAAAAAUCUGAAUCAUGUUUAUUCCACGUAUUUCGGCGGAAAAUUAUAUAACUAGUGAUUAAUAUCGACAUUGACGAGGGCAAGUUACGCUUAAAUAGUAAAAUAAGUUAACAUAUCUAGAAAUAUCAAAACUCGAACACAUGUCAUUUCAUCACCAUGGGGGCAGCCAUUUUUAAAUUAAUAAAAUAGAAAGAAACAUGCUAAAAACUCACUCAUCGCCUAAAUGACAUUCCAAACGGUUGACGAUGACAUAUGCAUUGGAUUGUACUCUUUCCGUUGAUGUUUGCAAACUGCACGAUCAGACCUCAUAAACACUCAAAAGAAUAACUAUGUAAGAAGCAUUUCACCAAUGUUUACAAUCGUUGUCGAAUCACAUUAAUUAUAUUAUUGCGCAUAAAAUAGCACGCUUACAGACUGGCAGAAAGAUCGAUUCGUAACUCCGUUCAAUUCAUCACGGUAUACUAUUAUAAUGAUAAUAUAUAAUAAUACAUCUCUUUAACAAUCUAAAAGUAGAAAUAAUUCUUUUAAACGGAGUUUUUAAUAACGAAAGUGAAAACAACGGAAGUUGGAUGGAUAUUCUGUGAGAUGCACUUCGGCUCCAGAAAAACAAUACAAAUAAACUAAAAAAGACAAGUGGGGGACAAUUUUCAGCUGGAAAAUAUUUGAAAUAGGGUAAGUAAUGAUAUCUCUACGUGGUCAUUUCUGUUAUUUAGUGCGAUCUCUUGCUGAUUAAUGUUAAUAGUUGUUUUACUAGUUGCCACCCAACUGUCAAAAUAAGAAAUGUGUUUUCUCAGGUAUGUGUAUACACAUACCCGGUUUUCUCACCACUGCACGUGGUUUCGACCGAUUUGUUUUGCACGUUUUUCUACGGAGCACAGCGAUGGCCACGCUCUCAAAAUGGGUAGAAGGAAUCGAAAUAUAAAAUCAAUCGGUUUGCCAAUUUCUUUAUAUUCCUUUACAAUUUUAUAUGUCGUCUGCAAUCUAUUUCAAUUUGAGAUGGUUUAAAAUUUGCAAUUUGGUUGAGAGGUAAAUAACAAAAUUGUUAAGCCUUUGAAAUAGAAUUGUGACUCUUAUUGUCCACCAUACCUGGAUUUUUAAAAAGUAGUUACGUUUUAGUUAUUUUUAGAACUUUGUUUAGGAAAUUUAUCCAAAAAAGGCAGUUGAAUAAAAACUCAUUUGUUGUUUUAUGACAAUAAUUUUCUGUGAAAUGUUGCUAACUUGACCUUGUAUAUGUAUAUAGCUUUGUAUUUAUUCAACUUAAGGUAGUGCAUAUCCUUCCUAACUUUAGAUUGAGAUUUUGUAAAUUAGUGUAAAAAUGUAUUGGUUUUAAACCAAAAUAUGAAUAAAGGACACAUUUAUUGAAUGUCAAAAAUGUGUUAAUGUUAUUCUAUCCGUCUUAAGCUUUAAAAUGAUAUAUAGUUUGACCAUAUUGUACCACAUUGAAUGAAGAAAAACCAAAGCGAAGUUUUAAUGAAUUUUAUCCCCCCCCCCCCCCCCCCAUGAACCUUAACUUUGAUAGUUUUUUGUAUUUCUUUUGAUAUUUAUAUCAUAUUGUAAAAAGUUUAUUUUAAUAUUGUAAAUAAAUUGAUUUAUUGUU
RNA transcript from Dreissena polymorpha, 6760 nucleotides. It is a transcript of the gene named NLR family CARD domain-containing protein 4-like, with no coding region annotated. The record is from RefSeq and is a predicted model, not a curated record. NCBI's taxonomy places the organism in Eukaryota, Metazoa, Mollusca, Bivalvia, Myida, Dreissenidae. The transcript has 5 exons.